CAAAGGCACUAACUACUCUGGUGUGAGAUGGCAUAAUGGGGGGAGCUGCGUAUGUGAGGUACUUGCCAUUUUCAACACUAAGAAGAGAGAAUCUAAAGACUUCAAAGUUUUCUUCACCCUGCAGUGAUGAUUUAUUUUCAAAGAACUCCCACAAGAUGAAGCAAAGGAGAAAGUGGAGACAAGGAGGUAUAGGGUCAAGAGGCUGGAAUCAGCAGCAAAAAUGACUGGUUUUAAGGCUGCGUUCCACCCAUCACUCACACCAGGAUACUGGGCUAGUCACUUAACGUCCCUGAGCCUCAAUGUCUCCAUCUGUGAAAUACACAUAAACACAGUGCCUGCCUAACCUGCUCACAGGUAAUUGUGAAGAACAAAUAAGAUAAGGGCUACAUGAGCAUAACUAAUGGCAUUAAUAAUUCCAGGAGCUGCUGCAUGAGGUGAAACAGUUGGAAAAAGACAAUCCAUCAUUUGUGUGCUCUCAAGGGAAACAGGUUUCAUGGACUGGUGGACAGACUUUGUAGGGAAUCAAAUCAUUCACACUGUUUAAGAACAUUGUUGAAAUGUUAUUUGUAUACAGUAAUGUAGCAAAAAAAGUACAAAACAAAAUGGAUUAAGGAAUAUUCUAAAUAGAAGUGAAGACAAAUACUUUGUGAAAAAUAAAAUUCUUAUUCCUUCUUUGUUCAUUAAGACCUGUACUUAAA
This is a long non-coding RNA of Phacochoerus africanus (Common warthog), 698 nucleotides long. RefSeq lists it as uncharacterized. The record is from RefSeq and is a predicted model, not a curated record. Lineage: Eukaryota; Metazoa; Chordata; Mammalia; Artiodactyla; Suidae. The transcript is spliced from 3 exons.